Molecule: long non-coding RNA, 304 nt
Filed under: Lathyrus oleraceus (garden pea)
Lineage: Eukaryota; Viridiplantae; Streptophyta; Magnoliopsida; Fabales; Fabaceae
Description: Pisum sativum (pea) long non-coding RNA (PSAT_LNC021597)
Source: RNAcentral
ACAGAGAAUAACUAAUGGAAUAAUUAAAAUAGAUAAAAUUGAGAGAUGAAGAGAAGGAGAGACAACAAAAAUAAAUAAAUAACGUAAAUGUAAAGAGAUAAGGGAAUAGAGAAAUGAAAUAAGGAUUUAUACAAGUUUGAUCGAACCGCGUGGCCUACUCAUAUCCCCAAGAGUUUCCUCUUGAGAGUCUCCACUAUAAUCAUAUGUGAGAUUUUUCACAGGUUACGCCCACGAACCUCCUUACAACCAACAUGAUAUUUUACACGGGUUAAUCACCAAAUUAAACAUGUGAUUUUACACUAGU